CUGGUCUUAGCGAAGUGGUCACCUCAACAGAGUCAAAAUCUGUUCAGGUGUCUUGGACCGCGCAGGUUCGAAACCUGCCGAUUACA
Non-coding RNA from Suillus decipiens, 86 nucleotides. NCBI's taxonomy places the organism in Eukaryota, Fungi, Basidiomycota, Agaricomycetes, Boletales, Suillaceae. The record is from the annotation of a GenBank genome assembly.